CGGGAUGGGUGAGUAACACGUGGAUAACCUACCUAUAAGACUGGGAUAACUUCGGGAAACCGGGGCUAAUACCGGAUAAUAUAUUGAACCGCAUGGUUCAAUAGUGAAAGACGGUUUUGCUGUCACUUAUAGAUGGAUCCGCGCCGCAUUAGCUAGUUGGUAAGGUAACGGCUUACCAAGGCAACGAUGCGUAGCCGACCUGAGAGGGUGAUCGGCCACACUGGAACUGAGACACGGUCCAG
This 242-nucleotide ribosomal RNA is filed under the name uncultured Staphylococcus sp. RNAcentral describes it as "partial 16S ribosomal RNA". It matches the Rfam family "Bacterial small subunit ribosomal RNA", at positions 100 to 334 of the family's 1533-position model. The record is from RNAcentral. Lineage: Bacteria; Bacillati; Bacillota; Bacilli; Caryophanales; Staphylococcaceae.